Molecule: transfer RNA, 81 nt
Filed under: Bacteroidia bacterium
Lineage: Bacteria; Pseudomonadati; Bacteroidota; Bacteroidia
Description: tRNA-Leu
Rfam family: tRNA
About the family: Transfer RNA (tRNA) molecules are approximately 80 nucleotides in length. Their secondary structure includes four short double-helical elements and three loops (D, anti-codon, and T loops).
Source: RNAcentral
GCCCAGGUGUUGGAAUGGUAUACAAGUACGCUUGAGGUGCGUAUGCUGAAAGGCGUGGGAGUUCGAAUCUCCUCCUGGGUA